This 249-nucleotide ribosomal RNA is filed under the name Bacteroides fragilis. RNAcentral's name for it is "partial 23S ribosomal RNA". It matches the Rfam family "Bacterial large subunit ribosomal RNA", at positions 1 to 261 of the family's 2925-position model. The record is from RNAcentral. Lineage: Bacteria; Pseudomonadati; Bacteroidota; Bacteroidia; Bacteroidales; Bacteroidaceae.
AAGAAAGUAAAUAAGGGCGCAUGGCGGAUGCCUUGGCUCUCGGAGGCGAUGAAGGACGUGAUAAGCUGCGAUAAGCUUCGGGUAGGUGCAAAUGACCUUUGAUCCGAAGAUUUCCGAAUGGGACAACCCGGCAUUCUGAAGGAAUGUCAUCCAACCUGGUUGGAGGCUAACGCAGGGAACUGAAACAUCUUAGUACCUGCAGGAAAAGAAAAUAAAUAAUGAUUCCCCUAGUAGUGGCGAGCGAACGGG